CGAGGAGGACGCCCACCUGCAUACCGCCAACCCCUUCGUGGCAGCCGCCUCAGCACUGGGCCAGGCACUACACCGCGCCAGCGCCCGCCUGAGCGGCGUGUACGGCCACACCGCCGCCGCCGAGGGCCACUCGCAGUACGACGCUUCCCAGCACGAAAUUUCUCAGUACGACCCGUCGCAGUACUCCCACCCCAGCGGCGAGGACAAGGACAGCGAUGGCGGCGCCAGUGCCGGUGCCAACGGCCUGCCCUCUGGGGCCGCGAUCGAGCUCACCGAGCAGCAGAAGCAGCUGCAGCAGCUGCAGCAGCCCGGCCAGCAGAAGCCGGAGGGGCAGGGGCACGCGGUUGUGGUUGUCAGCGCGGGUGGCAGUAGCAGCAACAAUGCACACACGGGUGACGACGCGGCGGCGGCUGUGGGCGCGGACAUGUCCUUCAAGCCGGUGGUGAUGGCGUUCAAGGACGUGUCGUACUUCGUGCCCCACCCCGACAAGGCGCACCAGCAAGGUGCGUGGGCAGGGUUUCCUGGUUUGCUAGCUAGCGUGGUUAGUUCUCCUACAGGAUUAUGUGCAACUGCCGGUAAACAAGCGGCGCAAAAGCCUGCUGAGCUUCUCCCGCCCAUCCAUUCUGCCAUGGGGAACCUUUCGAACAACUGCGCAAUCCAAACUUCCAACGUAUGUCAACAGGCAAGGAGCUGCAGCUGCUGAACGGCGUGAGCGGUGUGUUCCGGCCCGGUGUGCUGACCUCCCUCAUGGGCGCCAGUGGCGCCGGCAAGACCACCCUGAUGGAC
This 786-nucleotide long non-coding RNA is filed under the name Chlamydomonas reinhardtii. RNAcentral describes it as "long non-coding RNA (CREI_LNC000778)". Lineage: Eukaryota; Viridiplantae; Chlorophyta; Chlorophyceae; Chlamydomonadales; Chlamydomonadaceae. The record is from RNAcentral.